This 251-nucleotide ribosomal RNA is filed under the name uncultured Burkholderia sp. Its description in RNAcentral is "partial 16S ribosomal RNA". It matches the Rfam family "Bacterial small subunit ribosomal RNA", at positions 526 to 776 of the family's 1533-position model. Lineage: Bacteria; Pseudomonadati; Pseudomonadota; Betaproteobacteria; Burkholderiales; Burkholderiaceae. The record is from RNAcentral.
CGUAGGGUGCGAGCGUUAAUCGGAAUUACUGGGCGUAAAGCGUGCGCAGGCGGUGAUGUAAGACCGAUGUGAAAUCCCCGGGCUUAACCUGGGAACUGCAUUGGUGACUGCAUCGCUGGAGUAUGGCAGAGGGGGGUAGAAUUCCACGUGUAGCAGUGAAAUGCGUAGAGAUGUGGAGGAAUACCGAUGGCGAAGGCAGCCCCCUGGGCCAAUACUGACGCUCAUGCACGAAAGCGUGGGGAGCAAACAGG